CGAACGCUAGCGGUAGGCUUAACACAUGCAAGUCGAGCGCGAAAGUCAUCUUCGGAUGGCGAGUAGAGCGGCGAACGGGUGAGUAACGCGUAGGUAAUAUGCCCUUAGGUGGAGGACAACCAACCGAAAGGUUGGCUAAUACUGUCAUGAUAUCUUAGAAUCACAUGGUUCUUUGAUCAAAGAUUUAUCGCCUUUGGAUUAGCCUGCGUCCCAUUAGCUAGUUGGUAGUGUAAUGGACUACCAAGGCUACGAUGGGUAGCUGGUCUGAGAGGAUGAUCAGCCACACUGGGACUGAGAUACGGCCCAGACUCCUACGGGAGGCAGCAGUGAGGAAUAUUGCGCAAUGGACGAAAGUCUGACGCAGCCACUCCGCGUGCGGGAUGAAGCCCUUGCGGGUGUAAACCGCUGUUAGAAGGGACGAAUGCUCCUGUUUUGCAGGAGAGGGACGGUACCUUCAGAGAAAGCUCCGGCUAACUCC
Molecule: ribosomal RNA, 478 nt
Filed under: uncultured bacterium
Lineage: Bacteria
Description: bacterial SSU rRNA
Rfam family: Bacterial small subunit ribosomal RNA
Source: RNAcentral